UGACAGAGAACUUGAAAGUCUGCAUUGGC
RNAcentral lists this non-coding RNA (29 nucleotides) under Macaca fascicularis (crab-eating macaque). Lineage: Eukaryota; Metazoa; Chordata; Mammalia; Primates; Cercopithecidae. RNAcentral also lists the same sequence under 1 other name. The record is from RNAcentral.